Long non-coding RNA from Hyposmocoma kahamanoa, 217 nucleotides. RefSeq lists it as uncharacterized. Lineage: Eukaryota; Metazoa; Arthropoda; Insecta; Lepidoptera; Cosmopterigidae. The transcript is spliced from 4 exons. The record is from RefSeq and is a predicted model, not a curated record.
AACUCCGCCACCUCUAUGAGAACCUAAAACAGCGUUCAAAAAAGAACAUUGCCAAAGAAAAUAGACUUCACUUCUAUGAAUUAACGAAAGAUGUCAAGAUAAAAGCAUCAGUGGAUAAGGUGAUACAAACAGCAAUAAUGAAAAAAGUACUGAAAUUGAAGUAUCUUGUGAUGUGAUAGAGAACUAUCAAGCUGCAACAAUUGAAGUAAUAGAUAUA